CUCCAUAACAGUAUAACUUUGCAA
This 24-nucleotide microRNA is filed under the name Ananas comosus (pineapple). RNAcentral's name for it is "microRNA s1153_c008b". Lineage: Eukaryota; Viridiplantae; Streptophyta; Magnoliopsida; Poales; Bromeliaceae. The record is from RNAcentral.